This 330-nucleotide ribosomal RNA is filed under the name uncultured bacterium. Its description in RNAcentral is "SSU rRNA". It matches the Rfam family "Bacterial small subunit ribosomal RNA", at positions 26 to 376 of the family's 1533-position model. The record is from RNAcentral.
AGGAUGAACGCUGGCGGCGUGCCUAAUACAUGCAAGUCGAGCGGUAAGGCCUCUUCGGAGGUACACGAGCGGCGGACGGCUGAGUAACACGUAGGAACGUACCCCAAAGUGAGGCAUAAGCACCAGAAAUGGUGUCUAAUACCGCAUGUGAUCUUAGGAUUAAAGCUCCGGCGCUUUGGGAACGGCCUGCGCAUGAUUAGCUUGUUGGUGAGGUAAUGGCUCACCAAGGCGACGAUCAUUAGCUGGUCUGAGAGGAUGACCAGCCAGACUGGGACUGAGAACGGCCAGACUCCUACGGGAGGCAGCAGUAGGGAAUUUUCCACAAUGGGC